Non-coding RNA from Phrynosoma platyrhinos (Desert horned lizard), 72 nucleotides. NCBI's taxonomy places the organism in Eukaryota, Metazoa, Chordata, Lepidosauria, Squamata, Phrynosomatidae. The record is from the annotation of a GenBank genome assembly.
CCAGCAUGGUGUAGUGGUUUGCACGAUGGACUAUGACUCUGGAGACCAGGUUCAAAUCCUGAAUCAGCUGUG